Molecule: ribosomal RNA, 328 nt
Filed under: uncultured bacterium
Lineage: Bacteria
Description: bacterial SSU rRNA
Rfam family: Bacterial small subunit ribosomal RNA
Source: RNAcentral
GUGGGGAAUAUUGGACAAUGGGCGAAAGCCUGAUCCAGCAAUGCCGCGUGAGUGAUGAAGGCCUUAGGGUUGUAAAGCUCUUUUACCCGGGAUGAUAAUGACAGUACCGGGAGAAUAAGCCCCGGCUAACUCCGUGCCAGCAACCGCGGUAAUACGGAGGGGGCUAGCGUUGUUCGGAAUUACUGGGCGUAAAGCGCGCGUAGGCGGCUUUGUAAGUUAGAGGUGAAAGCCCGGAGCUCAACUCCGGAACUGCCUUUAAGACUGCAUCGCUAGAAUUGUGGAGAGGUGAGUGGAAUUCCGAGUGUAGAGGUGAAAUUCGUAGAUAUUC